CUGUCCCUGUGCUGGUCCGAGCUGGGGCCGGGCCGGCGGAGCAGCAGUUCCAGCCCCGGGUGUCCCUGGAGCGGUGGGAGCUGCCGGUGGCCCCAGGCAGGGUCCCCUGAGGAGCUGCUGAAGGACGCUGCCCUGCAGAGCCUGAGGACAGGCGGAGACUGGCAGGAGGCAGCAGGGAGAAGCUGCAGGCCGGCAGCAGGAGCAGGGAGCAGGGAGCUGCUGCUGCCAGCCGAGAGGCCGGGAGAGCUGCUCUGCACGGGAGGAAGCAAGGACGGAGGGAAAGGCUUUGAAGAUGGGGCACUGGAAUCCCUCUGCUUCGAGUUCUGUUUAAAGAUCUUUGGACUUGAACAUAGAGAGGGAUAUUUAUAUGGAUAUUUAUAUAUGUGGGUUUUAAUUUGUAUAGUAAUAUUUCUACAUGUUUAUUGUUAUAUUUAUGACUGUAUGCUAUGCAUAUAUGUGUGUAUAUAUGCAUACAUGUUUGUAAUUACAUGUAUUUUUAUAUAUGUGUCUAGGUAUUUGUAUAUAUAAGUAUGAUGUUUUGUGUUUAGUUCUAUUUCCUUUGUAUACAAUUGUGUAGUUAUUUCUAUUGAUGUCGUAGUUAUAUGGCUCUUUCAAUAGCUGUACCGGUAUUUGUAUAAGUAAAUAUCUAAUUAUAUUUAUACAUAUAUUUUGAUCUAUUUGGAUAUAAUUCUAUUUACAUAUAUGGGGAGAUUUGUAUUGAUUGACUUCUUGGUAGAGGGUUAUUUAGAUAGAGAUACUGAUAUUUUUGUAUUCCUAGAUGGGCUUUAAGUUUAGAUAAUAUGUAAUAAAUUAAGUUGUUAAACACCUAACUGAUCUUUGUGUAUAGUGAGGUUUAGAGGUUUUAGAGGUUAGUAAUAAAUUAAGCUUUUGUUAACUGAAAAUGGUCUUUGUAUAUUUUUAUAUAGCAGUGUUGUAAAAAUGUAAUAAAUUCCUUUUUUAACUUAAACUGAGAUCAGCAUAGAUGUAUAUCAUCAGCGUGGGUGUAGCAAUUUGUAAUAAAUUAUAUUUUUCAUGUGAAAUCAAUUCUUGUGUAUUUGUCAUUCAGCAGUGCAGCUGUAGCAAUCUGCACAAAAUUACAAUUGUCAGCUGGGAUGGGUGUUUUGUGAUUUGUGCUAUCCAGAGCAGUGAGCAGAUGUAAAUGCUGGAGGAUUUUGGCCAUGGGAUUCUCCACCCAUGCCCAGCACAUCAUCCCCUUGCCCUCAGGCUGGGCAAGGAAAGCGCAGAUUUGGGAUGGCAGCAGAGCCACACGUUGGCUCAGAACUCGCUGCAAAGGCUGCUGAGAAAACUCCAGGACUGCACGGAGCGUACAGCUCCAACCAGAGCC
Long non-coding RNA from Prinia subflava (tawny-flanked prinia), 1345 nucleotides. RefSeq lists it as uncharacterized. The transcript has 3 exons. The record is from RefSeq and is a predicted model, not a curated record. Lineage: Eukaryota; Metazoa; Chordata; Aves; Passeriformes; Cisticolidae.